CUUAGCUCUGUCCAGUGCACACUGAUGCCUAUUUAUUCCCACCAUGGACUCCUCCCUCUUCUUGGGAAAUGCUGGCACAUACAAGCUGUGCUGUGUGCUCAGACUGGAAAUGAGAAGAUAGAAGGAUUUCUGGCAGCCUAUAUAAAGGACAUGGAGGGAUACCUGCUUUCUUUGCCUGCUUUCUCUCGCUCUCACUGGCAAGUCCACUCCAUCAUUGGUAUCAGAGCUACUUCUUCAAGAUUCCAGCACAUACUGAAGACCAGGCCUCUAGCAGUCUUACAGGGCUGAUGGAAGCUCAGUGGACACUCAG
Molecule: long non-coding RNA, 310 nt
Organism: Alexandromys fortis (reed vole)
Lineage: Eukaryota; Metazoa; Chordata; Mammalia; Rodentia; Cricetidae
Exons: 3
Source: RefSeq, a predicted model, not a curated record